UACGGAGGGUGCGAGCGUUGUCCGGAAUCACUGGGCGUAAAGGGCGCGUAGGUGGCGCGGGCAGUCAACGGUGAAAGUUCGGGGCUCAACCCUGAAUCGGCCGUCGAUACUCCCGGGCUUGAGCACUGUAGAGGCUAAUGGAAUUCCGGGUGUGGCGGUGGAAUGCGUAGAGAUCCGGAAGAACACCGGUGGCGAAGGCGGUUAGCUGGGCAGUUGCUGACACUGAGGCGCGACAGCGUGGGGAGCAAACAGG
This 253-nucleotide ribosomal RNA is filed under the name uncultured bacterium. Its description in RNAcentral is "partial 16S ribosomal RNA". It matches the Rfam family "Bacterial small subunit ribosomal RNA", at positions 524 to 776 of the family's 1533-position model. The record is from RNAcentral.